AGAGUUUGAUCCUGGCUCAGAAUGAACGCUGGCGGCGCGUCUUAAGCAUGCAAGUCGAGCGGGAGUACCUAGCUUGCUAGGUAUGAGAGCGGCGGACUGGUGAGUAACGCGUGGGUGAUGUACCCUUUGGACGGGGAUAGCUCCUAGAAAUAGGAGGUAAUACCGGAUACGGUGUAUGUUGUCAGAGGACAUACAGGAAAGGUUCUGUUGAACCGCCGAAGGAGCGGCCCGCGUACUAUUAGCUAGUUGGUGAGGUAACGGCCCACCAAGGCGACGAUAGUUAUCCGGCCUGAGAGGGUGAACGGACACAUUGGGACUGAGAUACGGCCCAGACUCCUACGGGAGGCAGCAGCUAAGAAUAUUCCGCAAUGGACGAAAGUCUGACGGAGCGACGCCGCGUGGAUGAUGAAGGCCGGAAGGUUGUAAAAUCCUUUUGUACGCGAGGAAUAAGGAAAAUGAGAGAAACGUUUUCUGGUGACGGUAGCGUACGAAUAAGCAACGGCUAAUUACGUGCCAGCAGCCGCGGUAACACGUAAGUUGCGAGCGUUGUUCGGAAUUAUUGGGCGUAAAGGGCAUGUAGGCGGAAGUGCAAGUCUGGUGUGAAAUUCAGGGGCCCAACCCCUGAACUGCGUUGGAAACUGCACUACUUGAGUCACUGAGGGGCAGGCAGAAUUCCUGGUGUAGGGGUGAAAUCUGUAGAUAUCAGGAAGAAUACCGAUGGCGAAGGCAGCCUGCCAGCAGAUGACUGACGCUGAGGUGCGAAGGUGCGGGGAGCAAACAGGAUUAGAUACCCUGGUAGUCCGCACAGUCAACGAUGUACACUGGGUGUCCGGACUGGAGUCUGGGUGCCGAAGCAAACGCGGUAAGUGUACCGCCUGGGGAGUAUGCCCGCAAGGGUGAAACUCAAAGGAAUUGACGGGGGCCCGCACAAGCGGUGGAGCAUGUGGUUUAAUUCGAUGGUACGCGAGGAACCUUACCUGGGUUUGACAUACAAGUGAAUUAUAUAGAGAUAUGUAAGCGUAGCAAUACGCACUUGAACAGGUGCUGCAUGGCUGUCGUCAGCCCCCCCUCUUCUUUUUUUUGGGUUAAGUCCCGCGUCGAGCGCAACCCCUCCUGCCAGUUACCAACAGGUAAAGCUGGGGACUCUGGCGGAACUGCCGGUGACAAACCGGAGGAAGGUGGGGAUGACGUCAAGUCAUCAUGGCCCUUAUGUCCAGGGCUACACACGUGCUACAAUGGUGGCUACAGAGCGAAGCAGAGCCGUGAGGCCGAGCGGAACGCAGAAAGGCCAUCGUAGUUCGGAUCGGAGUCUGAAACCCGACUCCGUGAAGCUGGAAUCGCUAGUAAUCGCACAUCAGCACGGUGCGGUGAAUACGUUCCCGGGCCUUGUACACACCGCCCGUCACACCAUCCGAGUGGGGGGUACCCGAAGCCGGCAGUCUAACCGCAAGGAGGACGCUGUCGAAGGUACGCUUCGUGAGGGGGGUGAAGUCGUAACAAGGUAACC
RNAcentral lists this ribosomal RNA (1507 nucleotides) under uncultured rumen bacterium. Its description in RNAcentral is "bacterial SSU rRNA". It matches the Rfam family "Bacterial small subunit ribosomal RNA". The record is from RNAcentral.